This 316-nucleotide long non-coding RNA is filed under the name Pan troglodytes (chimpanzee). Its description in RNAcentral is "long non-coding RNA NONPTRT002377". The record is from RNAcentral. Lineage: Eukaryota; Metazoa; Chordata; Mammalia; Primates; Hominidae.
CAUUAAGGUACUCCACAAGAAGAUCAACCCCAAGACACAUAAUCAUCAGAUUCUCCAAAGUUGAAAUGAAGAUCAAAGAGAGUAGAGGAAGAAUGAACAGGAGAAUCCCUCACAAAGGAGAAAAGUGAUUUGUCAGAAUCCAUUUUACAUGCAAUUUCUUUACUCCUUCAUAAAAAUCUCUUCCUUCUGGAAUAAACACUGGAAUGUGAGUUCCUUCUCUGCAGGAACGUGCUAACAGUAUGUAUAUUUUUGGUCAUAUAUUCCCCCUCUCUGAUAUCAGGAUGUAGCCUGUGGGCCUCAUGACAGGUAUUGUUCC